Molecule: long non-coding RNA, 150 nt
Organism: Epinephelus fuscoguttatus (brown-marbled grouper)
Lineage: Eukaryota; Metazoa; Chordata; Actinopteri; Perciformes; Serranidae
Exons: 3
Source: RefSeq, a predicted model, not a curated record
GCUGUACCUGGGGGCUCCAGGAAAGGGCUUGACAGGACAGCCGUUGUUUUCUAGGUUUGCUGUCCUCACUCAUCUUUGUCAAGAGGCAAAUCCAGUUGCAGCAGCCCUGCACACAGGUCAGACAAACUAAUGGGAGACAUCGAACACAUC